RNAcentral lists this ribosomal RNA (1293 nucleotides) under Triticum aestivum (bread wheat). Its description in RNAcentral is "partial small subunit ribosomal RNA". The record is from RNAcentral. Lineage: Eukaryota; Viridiplantae; Streptophyta; Magnoliopsida; Poales; Poaceae.
AUGGAUAUGGAACAUGAAAUACCAAAAAAAUUAGGUGUACUUGCUACUCAUGGAGAUGGGGUAACUCCUAAAACCCCCGAUUCUCAUUAUGUGAAAGAUAUUAUGUACUACUUUGAUAAUCCUGAGAAAACCCCAUUCAACUUUAUAAUGGGAGACACGUUGAAUCAACGUGAAUACUUUAGGGAUUAUCGCUUGACACAAAAAGGGAACCUAUUACGGGAUCAAUUUAUUAUGUUGCGUUGGUAUGCCCGAGAUCUAUGCUUGAGAUAUCAUAUUACUUGUUGCUCUAGGAUGAAGGCUCCACACCUUCCAUUUUCAUGCAAAUUUAAUGAUAAUGAAACCUUAGCUUCUUAUGCUAAUGGUAUAUAUGAUUACUAUGAUGUGGAACAAAUAGAAGAAUUUGUUGCUUUUAAGGCUGCUUAUGAAAUUGAAUCUUUGUUUGAAAAGCAUGAAGCUUUUGAUGAUGAUGUUUAUAGGCCUGAAAAUCUUGCUAUACUUAGAUAUUGCUAUGAAAAUUAUGAAUACAAUUACUACAUUAAUGCAUUUAUUGAGAAAGUCUCUGCUGUCCAAGAAGAGACUAAUAUUUUGCAGGAAGCUAUGGAAGAAGAAAUUGAUGAAACUAUGAGCUCAUUGGAUGAAAAAGAUGAUGAGGAGAGCGAAGAACAAAAGGAGGAAGAGCGGAUUGAUCACCCGUGCCCACCUUCUAAUGAGAGUAACUCUUCAACUCAUACAUUGUUUAAUUCCCCUUUGUGCUUACCGAAGGAUGAUUGCUAUGAUGAUUGUUAUGAUCCCUUUAAUUCAUAUGAAAUAUCCCUUUUUGAUGAUGCUUGCUAUGCUUGUGGCCAAGAUGCCAAUAUGAAUUAUGCUUAUGGAGAUGAACUUGCUAUAGUUCCUUAUGUUAAACAUGAUAUUGUUGCUAUUGCACCCACGCAUGAUAAUCCUAUUGUCUUUUUGAAUUCUCCCAACUACACUAUAUCGGAGAAGUUUGUGCUUAUUAAGGAUUAUAUUGAUAGGUUGCCUUUUACCGUUGCACAUGAUGAUUUUGAUAGAUAUAAUAUGCAUGUGCUUGCUGCUCCUACUUGCAAUUAUUAUGAGAGAGGAACUACAUCUCUGCCUCUUUAUGUUUCCAACACGAUGAAAUUGCAAGAAACUGCUCAUACUAUGCAUUGGCCUUUACUUGGUGUGCAUGAAUUGUUCUUUUAUGACAUGCCGAUGCAUAGGAAGAGAGUUAGACUUCUUUGUUGCUUGAUGUAUGUUACUAUGUGCUCACUAAUAAAUUACAUUGUUAAUUAA